GAGAGAGAGAGAGAGAGAGAGAAUUACAUACAAAGGAGUGCCCAUUAGAAUGUCAACUGACUAUCAAGAGAAACACUUCAGGCCAAAAGGGAGUGGCAUGAAGUACUCAAUGUAAUGAAAAGCAAGGGCCUAAAUCCAAGACUACUGUAUCCAGAGAGGCUACCAAUUAUAAUUGAAGGUGAGGAGAACUGAGAUGAUGGCAUAGGUAAAUGCCAGUAUUUGCCACCUCCCAUAACCACAUCAAAAUUACAACUAAGUUCAUACAUUUGGUGUAUGUGCUUGGCUGAGGAGCCAAUGGAGUGAAGCUACCAUCUGUGGGAUUAUGACUGAAUGCCUCUAAGUCAGAAUCCCGCUCAGGCAGAACUAUACGGCAGUGCCGAGGGAGCCUUGGUUGGCCUCGGAUAGCCAGUCCUCCCACUCGUCCCUGCCAGUGGGCGCAGCAUUCCCCCACCGAGCAUCGGACCGGGGUCAGUAUGGAGAGCCCUUCGUCCUGGGAGACGUGGUGCGACCAGAAAGGGGGCCGCCCCCACGCCCUUCACACAAUGCACGUUCCUGGGGAACCUAGCGCUAAACCAUUCGUAGAGGACCUGCUUCUGGGUCGGGGUUUCGUACUUAGCAGAGCAGCUCCCUCACUGUGAUCUAUUGAAAGUCAGCCCUUGACACAAGGGUUUGU
RNAcentral lists this non-coding RNA (673 nucleotides) under Myotis brandtii (Brandt's bat). Its description in RNAcentral is "Eukaryotic large subunit ribosomal RNA". It matches the Rfam family "Eukaryotic large subunit ribosomal RNA", at positions 3036 to 3401 of the family's 3401-position model. Lineage: Eukaryota; Metazoa; Chordata; Mammalia; Chiroptera; Vespertilionidae. The record is from Rfam by way of RNAcentral.